UGAGUAAUGUCUGGGAAACUGCCUGAUGGAGGGGGAUAACUACUGGAAACGGUAGCUAAUACCGCAUAACGUCGCAAGACCAAAGAGGGGGACCUUCGGGCCUCUCGCCAUCAGAUGUGCCCAGAUGGGAUUAGCUAGUAGGUGGGGUAAUGGCUCACCUAGGCGACGAUCCCUAGCUGGUCUGAGAGGAUGACCAGCCACACUGGAACUGAGACACGGUCCAGACUCCUACGGGAGGCAGCAGUGGGGAAUAUUGCACAAUGGGCGCAAGCCUGAUGCAGCCAUGCCGCGUGUGUGAAGAAGGCCUUCGGGUUGUAAAGCACUUUCAGCGAGGAGGAAGGUGGUGAGCUUAAUACGCUCAUCAAUUGACGUUACUCGCAGAAGAAGCACCGGCUAACUCCGUGCCAGCAGCCGCGGUAAUACGGAGGGUGCAAGCGUUAAUCGGAUUUUAAUUACUGGGCGUAAAGCGGCGCGCGCGUUUGUAAGUGGAUGUGAAUCAAUGUGAAUC
Molecule: ribosomal RNA, 508 nt
Filed under: uncultured bacterium
Lineage: Bacteria
Description: bacterial SSU rRNA
Rfam family: Bacterial small subunit ribosomal RNA
Source: RNAcentral